RNAcentral lists this ribosomal RNA (383 nucleotides) under uncultured soil bacterium. RNAcentral describes it as "bacterial SSU rRNA". It matches the Rfam family "Bacterial small subunit ribosomal RNA", at positions 26 to 405 of the family's 1533-position model. The record is from RNAcentral.
AGAUUGAACGCUGGCGGCAGGCCUAACACAUGCAAGUCGAGCGGCAGCACGGGUACUUGUACCUGGUGGCGAGCGGCGGACGGGUGAGUAAUGCCUAGGAAUCUGCCUGGUAGUGGGGGAUAACGCUCGGAAACGGACGCUAAUACCGCAUACGUCCUACGGGAGAAAGCAGGGGACCUUCGGGCCUUGCGCUAUCAGAUGAGCCUAGGUCGGAUUAGCUAGUUGGUGAGGUAAUGGCUCACCAAGGCGACGAUCCGUAACUGGUCUGAGAGGAUGAUCAGUCACACUGGAGCUGAGACACGGUCCAGACUCCUACGGGAGCAGCAGUGGGGAAUAUUGGACAAGUGGGACGAAAGCCUAGACUCCAGCCAUCGCCGCGUGUG